This 561-nucleotide ribosomal RNA is filed under the name Myceliophthora lutea. RNAcentral describes it as "partial 28S ribosomal RNA". It matches the Rfam family "Eukaryotic large subunit ribosomal RNA", at positions 38 to 625 of the family's 3401-position model. Lineage: Eukaryota; Fungi; Ascomycota; Sordariomycetes; Sordariales; Chaetomiaceae. The record is from RNAcentral.
GCAUAUCAAUAAGCGGAGGAAAAGAAACCAACAGGGAUUGCCCUAGUAACGGCGAGUGAAGCGGCAACAGCUCAAAUUUGAAAUCUGGCUUCGGCCCGAGUUGUAAUUUGCAGAGGAAGCUUUAGGCGCGGCACCUUCUGAGUCCCCUGGAACGGGGCGCCAUAGAGGGUGAGAGCCCCGUAUAGUUGGAUGCCUAGCCUGUGUAAAGCUCCUUCGACGAGUCGAGUAGUUUGGGAAUGCUGCUCAAAAUGGGAGGUAAAUUUCUUCUAAAGCUAAAUACCGGCCAGAGACCGAUAGCGCACAAGUAGAGUGAUCGAAAGAUGAAAAGCACUUUGAAAAGAGGGUUAAAUAGCACGUGAAAUUGUUGAAAGGGAAGCGCUUGUGACCAGACUUGCGCCGGGCUGAUCAUCCGGUGUUCUCACCGGUGCACUCUGCCCGGCUCAGGCCAGCAUCGGUUCUCGCGGGGGGAUAAAGGCCCCGGGAAUGUAGCUCCCACGGGAGUGUUAUAGCCCGGGGCGUAAUGCCCUCCCGGGGACCGAGGUUCGCGCAUCUGCAAGGAUG